GACGAACGCUGGCGGCGUGCUUAACACAUGCAAGUCGAACGAUGAAGCUGGAGCUUGCUCCGGUGGAUUAGUGGCGAACGGGUGAGUAACACGUGAGCAAUCUGCCCUUGACUCUGGGAUAACUGCGGGAAACUGUAGCUAAUACCGGAUACUUUCACUGGAAGGCAUCUUCUGGUGAAGAAAGAAUUUCGGUCAAGGAUGAGCUCGCGGCCUAUCAGCUUGUUGGUGAGGUAACGGCUCACCAAGGCGACGACGGGUAGCCGGCCUGAGAGGGUGACCGGCCACACUGGGACUGAGACACGGCCCAGACUCCUACGGGAGGCAGCAGUGGGGAAUAUUGCACAAUGGGCGCAAGCCUGAUGCAGCAACGCCGCGUGAGGGAUGAAGGCCUUCGGGUUGUAAACCUCUUUUAGCAGGGAAGAAGCGAAAGUGUCGGUACCUGCGGAAAAAGCACCGGCUAACUACGUGCCAGCAGCCGCGGUAA
RNAcentral lists this ribosomal RNA (484 nucleotides) under uncultured bacterium. RNAcentral describes it as "partial 16S ribosomal RNA". It matches the Rfam family "Bacterial small subunit ribosomal RNA", at positions 28 to 523 of the family's 1533-position model. The record is from RNAcentral.